UGGGGAAUAUUGCACAAUGGGCGAAGGCCUGAUGCAGCAACGCCGCGUGAGUGAUGAAGGCCUUCGGGUUGUAAAGCUCUGUCUUCUGGGACGAUAAUGACGGUACCAGAGGAGGAAGCCACGGCUAACUACGUGCCAGCAGCCGCGGUAAUACGUAGGUGGCAAGCGUUGUCCGGAUUUACUGGGCGUAAAGGAUGCGUAGGCGGAUACUUAAGUCAGAUGUGAAAAUCCCGGGCUUAACUUGGGAACUGCAUUUGAAACUGGGUAGCUAGAGUGCGGGAGAGGAAAGUGGAAUUCCUAGUGUAGCGGUGAAAUGCGUAGAGAUUAGGAAGAACACCAGUGGCGAAGGCGACUUUCUGGACCGUAACUGACGCUGAGGCAUGAAAGCGUGGGGAGCAAACA
Molecule: ribosomal RNA, 402 nt
Filed under: uncultured bacterium
Lineage: Bacteria
Description: bacterial SSU rRNA
Rfam family: Bacterial small subunit ribosomal RNA
Source: RNAcentral